GCAGAGACAAGAUGCUGACAUUGAUAGAUACAUCAAAGUUCAGGUUUUUAUGACUACUGUAACUUUUAAGUAUCAAUUUUUUUCCAGUGUGUGUGUUUGUGAUUUGUGUUUGUUCUUCUUACCUUGCAUUUACGGUUAGGAAAUUUUACUAUUUACUUAAGGGUGCAGUGUUUCAUUUUAUCCUAUGCGCCGAGGGUCGAAUGGAAACAGCUUCUCUACCCUUUCGGGUAGGG
This 233-nucleotide long non-coding RNA is filed under the name Nicotiana benthamiana. RNAcentral describes it as "long non-coding RNA (NBEN_LNC000983)". Lineage: Eukaryota; Viridiplantae; Streptophyta; Magnoliopsida; Solanales; Solanaceae. The record is from RNAcentral.